RNAcentral lists this ribosomal RNA (472 nucleotides) under uncultured bacterium. RNAcentral's name for it is "bacterial SSU rRNA". It matches the Rfam family "Bacterial small subunit ribosomal RNA", at positions 355 to 825 of the family's 1533-position model. The record is from RNAcentral.
UGGGGAAUAUUGGACAAUGGGGGCAACCCUGAUCCAGCGAUGCCGCGUGUGUGAAGAAGGCCUGCGGGUUGUAAAGCACUUUAGUUGGGGAGGAAAGGUAUGUACUGCAUAAGUGCAUGCUGUGACGUUACCCAAAGAAUAAGCACCGGCAAACUCUGUGCCAGCAGCCGCGGUAAUACAGAGGGUGCAAGCGUUAAUCGGAAUUACUGGGCGUAAAGCGCGCGUAGGUGGUUUGUUAAGUUGGAUGUGAAAUCCCCGGGCUCAACCUGGGAACUGCAUUCAAAACUGACUGACUAGAGUAUGGUAGAGGGUGGUGGAAUUUCCUGUGUAGCGGUGAAAUGCGUAGAUAUAGGAAGGAACACCAGUGGCGAAGGCGACCACCUGGACUGAUACUGACACUGAGGUGCGAAAGCGUGGGGAGCAAACAGGAUUAGAUACCCACGUAGUCCCUGAGCGGGCUGGCAAGGCGCAU